GUUAACUCUGGACUGCAGAGCUCACCUUCGCUUUUGUCUCAGCUUUUCGUUUGUAGCGGUUACGAAGAGUAUAAGAAAAUUGAGAAAGAAUAAUAUUAGAGUUAGAAAUUACCUCCUGGUCUUGUCCCUCAGUUGUUGUCGCCCUUUGAGUUGUCUCAGCAAUUUAUUCCAAAUGUAGCAGUGUCAGACCGGAGCCAACCGGUUUCUGGGGUCUGACACCAAAGGUUAAACUUUAAAUUUAGAAAAGGACGGAGAGGGACCUGCCGGGACUUAACGGACAUUUUCAUUGCCCUGUGACCUUGCCACGGAUGGUCUCAGGGGCUUGACCUAUCUCACCCCUUGCUGCUUAUCUACAUGGUCGGGAGAAGAAUUUAAAUAGUUGGACUGGAUUUAACCAGGGAUGAGACUUUCCCAGGUGGCUGAGGUAUGAUUGAAGAAAAGAUGGUUCCAGGUGGCAAAGAACUGAGAGGUCCAGGUGGUGGAUGGAUCAUCCAAUGGAUGCUGAAGCACUGAGAAUGGUGCUAUUAUGGCUUCCAGUUCCAGAGGAGGACACCAAGGCUUCGAGAUGCUAAGUGACAUCCUAAGGUGACACAGUGGUCAGCUGUGGAGCUGAGAUACAAAUCCAGGUGAUCUGAUGUCUACACUUUGCCCUGCUGUGUUCUCUCCUCUCCAGGAGUUUCUCAUUGUGCGAAUGUAGCGUUGGUAAAAAUCUACCUCAUUCUUCCCUUAAUCUGUAUUUCUUUGGUUUUUAGUAGGGAUUAAUAUUUGAACAAGACACUUUUAACGUAAGAAUCAGGAAGUGGAAGGUAGGGUCAUUUAUACAUUUGGAAAAUGUACCCACAGACACAGGGUAAACAUAUUUUAAAUUAGUAUUUAGACAGGGUGAAACUGAGUGAAGACGUUCAAUUUUUCAAUUCAAGAAGCCGCAUCAGUAUCACCCAGGAACUAGCUUGAAAUGCAGAGUUUUGGGCUUCAACCCAGACCUACUAAAGCAGAAACUCUGAAAGAGGGAGGUGCCCAGCAAUCUGGGCACACUCAAGUCUGAGAACUUCUGCUGGAGGGAAUGCUCAUGUGAGUUUGGUCACAGCCGUAGUCUGGACAUUGUAAAGAAUAGACAUAUGCUCCUUAGUACUGCUGCCUGUGUAUAGGUAAAUUCAUUUUCCUACUCAAAAUACAUCCUCCUGGAGGGCCUGGCCAUGUGCAUCUUUAAAUCAUGUAAGCCUCUCCCUUCAAGGGUUGGUCUAAGACCAGAGCAUUAGCCUCAUGUAGGAGCUUGUUAAACAUGCAGUCUUGAUCCCAUGCCAGACUUACUGAACCAGAAUCUGCAUUUCAACAAGGUCCCUUGACUAUGAUUCGUGAAAACGAAUUGUGCACUUGGGUAGUGGAAGUCCUCAUAGAGGAGUACAAGCAUUACAGAUGUGAGUA
Molecule: long non-coding RNA, 1425 nt
Organism: Choloepus didactylus (southern two-toed sloth)
Lineage: Eukaryota; Metazoa; Chordata; Mammalia; Pilosa; Megalonychidae
Exons: 4
Source: RefSeq, a predicted model, not a curated record